AGCUAACGCGAUAAGUCGACCGCCUGGGGAGUACGGCCGCAAGAUUAAAACUCAAAUGAAUUGACGGGGGCCCGCACAAGCGGUGGAGCAUGUGGUUUAAUUCGAUGCAACGCGAAGAACCUUACCUNCUCUUGACAUCCANAGAACUUUCCAGAGAUGGAUUGGUGCCUUCGGGAACUCUNAUACAGGUGCUGCAUGGCUGUCGUCAGCUCGUGUUGUGAAAUGUUGGGUUAAGUCCCGCAACGAGCGCAACCCUUAUCCUUUGUUGCCAGCGAGUAGAGCCGGAACUUUUAGGAGACUGCCAGGGANAAACUGGAGGAAGGUGGGGAUGACGUCAAGUCAUUCUGGCCCUUAACAGUAGGGCUACCCACGUGCUA
This 377-nucleotide ribosomal RNA is filed under the name Enterobacter sp. DJM29. RNAcentral's name for it is "bacterial SSU rRNA". It matches the Rfam family "Bacterial small subunit ribosomal RNA", at positions 850 to 1227 of the family's 1533-position model. Lineage: Bacteria; Pseudomonadati; Pseudomonadota; Gammaproteobacteria; Enterobacterales; Enterobacteriaceae. The record is from RNAcentral.